UAUCAAAACCUAAUAGCGAAAUUAACAUAACUUUUUAUGGGAUUAGUUUUUAGAUUAUUUAUAGUCUAUUAAUUCAAUCCCGGGGCGUUCUAUAUAGUUAUGUAUAAUAAUAUUUAUAUUAUUUAUACCUCUAACUAGAGCGUACCUUGAGCAUAUAUGCUGUGACCCGAAAGAUGGUGAACUAUACUUGAUCAGGUUGAAGUCAGGGGAAACCCUGAUGGAAGACCGAAACAGUUCUGACGUGCAAAUCGAUUGUCAGAAUUGAGUAUAGGGGCGAAAGACCAAUCGAACCAUCUAGUAGCUGGUUCCCUCCGAAGUUUCCCUCAGGAUAGCUGGUGCAUUUAAAUAUUAUGUAAAAUAAUCUUAUCUGGUAAAGCGAAUGAUUAGAGGCCUUAGGGUCGAAACGACCUUAACCUAUUCUCAAACUUUAAAUGGGUAAGAACCUCACCUUUCUUGGUAUGAAGGUUGUGGUUGUGAUAUAAUGUGCCCAGUGGGCCACUUUUGGUAAGCAGAACUGGCGCUGUGGGAUGAACCAAACGUAAUGUUACGGUGCCCAAAUUAACAACUC
RNAcentral lists this ribosomal RNA (568 nucleotides) under Ravinia floridensis. RNAcentral's name for it is "eukaryotic LSU rRNA". It matches the Rfam family "Eukaryotic large subunit ribosomal RNA", at positions 699 to 1202 of the family's 3401-position model. The record is from RNAcentral. Lineage: Eukaryota; Metazoa; Arthropoda; Insecta; Diptera; Sarcophagidae.